RNAcentral lists this ribosomal RNA (428 nucleotides) under uncultured bacterium. RNAcentral describes it as "bacterial SSU rRNA". It matches the Rfam family "Bacterial small subunit ribosomal RNA", at positions 355 to 776 of the family's 1533-position model. The record is from RNAcentral.
UCGAGAAUUUUUCUCAAUGGGCGAAAGCCUGAAGGAGCGACGCCGCGUGGGGGAUGAAUGGCUUCGGCCCGUAAACCCCUGUCAUUUGCGAACAAACCUUUUCAUUUAACACCUGAAAAGCUGAUUGUAGCGAAAGAGGAAGGGACGGCUAACUCUGUGCCAGCAGCCGCGGUAAUACAGAGGUCCCAAGCGUUGUUCGGAUUCACUGGGCGUAAAGGGUGCGUAGGUGGUUGGGUAAGUCUGAUGUGAAAUCUCUGAGCUCAACUCAGAAACUGCAUUGGAUACUAUCCGGCUAGAGAAUCGGAGGGGGGACUGGAAUACUUGGUGUAGCAGUGAAAUGCGUAGAUAUCAAGUGGAACACCAGUGGCGAAGGCGAGUCCCUGGACGAUUUCUGACACUGAGGCACGAAAGCUAGGGGAGCAAACAGG